AACGAACGCUGGCGGCAGGCCUAACACAUGCAAGUCGAGCGCCCCAGCAAUGGGGAGCGGCAGACGGGUGAGUAACGCGUGGGUAUCUACCUAGUGGUGCGGAAUAGCCCAGGGAAACUUGGAGUAAUACCGCAUAAGCCCGAAAGGGGAAAGAUUUAUCGCCAUUAGAUGAGCCCGCGUUGGAUUAGCUAGUUGGUGGGGUAACGGCCCACCAAGGCGACGAUCCAUAGCUGGUCUGAGAGGAUGAUCAGCCACACUGGGACUGAGACACGGCCCAGACUCCUACGGGAGGCAGCAGUGGGGAAUAUUGGACAAUGGGCGCAAGCCUGAUCCAGCCAUGCCGCGUGCAGGAGAAGGCCUCGGUUGUAACUAGCUUUGUCUA
This 382-nucleotide ribosomal RNA is filed under the name uncultured bacterium. Its description in RNAcentral is "bacterial SSU rRNA". It matches the Rfam family "Bacterial small subunit ribosomal RNA", at positions 29 to 441 of the family's 1533-position model. The record is from RNAcentral.